GCCAGUGUGGUGUAGUGGUUUGAGUGUUGGACUAAAACUCUGAAGAUCAGAGUUCAAUUCCCUGCUUGACU
Molecule: transfer RNA, 71 nt
Filed under: Phrynosoma platyrhinos (Desert horned lizard)
Lineage: Eukaryota; Metazoa; Chordata; Lepidosauria; Squamata; Phrynosomatidae
Description: tRNA-OTHER
Source: RNAcentral